RNAcentral lists this long non-coding RNA (6586 nucleotides) under Populus trichocarpa (black cottonwood). RNAcentral describes it as "long non-coding RNA (PTRI_LNC001221)". Lineage: Eukaryota; Viridiplantae; Streptophyta; Magnoliopsida; Malpighiales; Salicaceae. The record is from RNAcentral.
CUUUCUCAUCUGGUAAUGUUGUGCUCUUAAGAGAUUCUGUAGUUUUGGUAUUUUCUGUAUUUGCUGGAAUUGGUGGAAGAAAAGGUAGCCCUGGAAGAGGUGGGAGAGGAGGGAGUUGCGGUAAUGGUGGCAAUAUUGGAAGCGGAGGAAGAGGAGGGAGAACAGGUGUUUUCGGGUCUUGAAGUGGAGGUGGAAAUGUUGGGUUAUCAAAAGAAGGUAGAGAGGCUUCUUUGGAACUGAAUUCCCUGGGAUUUUCUAUACUUGGUUUUUGAUUACAUAAGAACGGUUCUUUUUCAGGCUUGAAGGUGAAAAAACCAGCUGAAAAUAUAUGUGUUCCUUCCUUUCUUGACUUGAGACGAAGUGAUGAUGAAGUUGCUGUGGAUGCCACAGCACAAUAAGGCUCGCUGCUACUUAGUAACUCCACUGAACAUCUCUUAAUUUUCUUUACGUGUUUGCUCACUGAGAAAGGCAAAUGAACCUUGAAUUCUCCAUGCUCGUCUGUUUUCGCUUCUUCUCUGAAACUUGGUCUUGAUUUCUCAUCUUUGCAUUCUACAGCAACAUGUGCACCUGCAUACAAUAGCCCCCAGAAUCAUUUUUCUAUAUCACACUGCAAAACAUAACCCGUAAAAAUUAAUGUUAAUCCAAUAAUUAAGGAAGUUGUCGAAAAGAACCUGAAAUGAAGUGACUGUUCCUUGAGAAAUAUUCUUGGAAACAUGUGUCACAGUAGACAGUGCCAACGACAACUGCAGAUGGAAGUUUCUUUCCAUGGCUGGCUUCUGAGGGGUUAUUAAAUGUGAAACCGAGAAGGAAUAUUAUGAAAAACCAAGGCAUUAUGAGUAUUCUUCUUCUCUCUCUACGAUCACUGAUUUAGAGAAGAAUAAGAGUUGGCAGAGUCUCCUCUUUAUAAGUUGAGCCAAUCUUGACACUUGUUCUCUAUUCCUGACGUGCCGUGUCCCAUGUUCUAUUAUUGCUGUUUGAGAUAUGAAUGGAUAAUAUACCGUCUUACCCACCAAGAAUCUUUAUGUCAUUCAUGCAGAAACCAGUCAACUGCAAACUAGCAGCAGUGAAUGAGGGUGUAUUUCCUACCAUUUAACAGCUCAAAAGGAGGUAAAUAUACAGGCAGAUAAGGUAAGACUCUAGCUCUACCCUUCAUCCACCUCCCCCUUGUUUUCUUACAUUUAUCGAUUUGUUCCUUUGCUGGCUUUAAAAUACCAUUAUGAAUAGUUGGGUCCCUGUUGGUUCACGAGACAUGUAGAGUAGCCACAAAUUUCAUGCGCAUACAACAACACCCUAGCUAAUACCAACAAAUUUGAGAAUGUAGCUCGCUUGUAAGAUAUAUGUAUAAAUGCUAUUCACCUUUUGAACUAAUGUAUGCACAGACAUAGGUAGGCUGUUUCUUGAGGUUGUGUUGGAGAUAAACAUAGAGGAAAGAAAAAUGUGUUUGGUUAAAAAAAAAAAGUUAAAAGAUAUAAUAUAAUAGUUUUGAAGUGAAUUUUUUUAUUUUUAAAAUAAAAAAUAUAGAAAAAUAUAUAUAUUCCCAAUGCUUGUUCUCUUUUAACUCUAAAUAGUAGUUUGAAUGUCGUUUUAAAUUAAACUAGGCAAUGAAGGUUGAUUUAGUAUGUUCUUAUUGACCUAACAAGUUAGCCUGCUACUUAGAUCAAAGUCUAAUUUGACUUUUAAGAGAUUUUAAAAUCAGGUGGUUUGAGUUAUUUAAAAAAUAUAUUAAAACGAUUAUGUUUUAGAUUGAUCUGAGUCAACUUAAUUUAAUCUUUUAACCGUGUCAUUGGAUUAAUGUAAAUUUUUAGGUUUUUUUUUUAAAAUAUUUGAUUUGUUGAAAUACAUGUACAGUUCAUAGAAUGCUUGAUGCUUUUGCGAAAAAAAAAUAAAAAAAGAAGAAGCUGGUUCUUGAACCAGUGAAAUAUGGGGAAAUCCCUUAAUUUUACUACUGUGCUUGUGUAAUUAGGCAAAUAAGUACUUCAUCUAAUUUACUCAUGUAUUUUUUCAUCACACUCCAUUAAUUUAGCCCAACGAUAAGAAAUUGUAAACAACAUAGGCAGACCUUACAGGGUAAAUUCGUCAUAGUUUGUUGAAAUUCAGUCCAAUUAGAUUGAAUUGAUAAAGUGUGACACAUAUAAGGUAGAUUUUACAAAUAAGCUUUCAUAAGGGCUGAUCUGCUUAAUUGGCACAAUCAAGGACUAAAUCUUAAGGAAAUAUGUUAAUAAUAAUAAUAAUAAUAAUAAUAAUAAUUAAUAGGUCAGUUUUCUGUCGAAAACAAAAGGAAUGAUUACAUGCCCAUGGAAAAACUGUCAUUCUAUUCGUAAUCAAAUGUUAAAUGCCCAUGGAAUUUUAGGAAGACCAUUCCAUAAGACAUGUGCGUACGACAAUAUUAACUAUAGAGUUUGAUGAUGAAAUAAUUGAAUUUAAUUUUUUAAAUGCAAUCUGAUUUUGUAGUGAUGUAUAUUUUGUUAUGUACUUUAAUAUUAUAGAUUAUUUGUCUAACAAAUAUUUAAUUUGAGUAGUGAUUAUAAAUUAAAUGUAACAAUAAGUCAAAGUUUGGAUUCUGUCUUAUAUAAAAAGAUGUGACUAUCACAAAUUGAAUUUAACUUAAUAACGUAUAAUGAUCACUUUCCUUUAAAUUUCAUGGAUCAAAUGCUUAAGAUAUUAACAAAUAAGUCCCACUAUUACUUUCUUGAUGGAUAAUGGUUGUAAUCAUAUUAUUGUUGCACUAGAAGAUCAAGAAAAUACUAUUUUUACUUGCCCUUCCGAUACUUUUUCGUAUAGAAGUAAAUAUUUUGAUCUUUGCAAUGCACGUGCUAUUUUUUGAAUAUGCAUAAUGAGUAAAUUUUCAGACCAUGUAGAAAGAAUCAUAUAGGAUUUUAUGAAUGAUUUUAUUAUUUAUGGUAAUUCUUUUGAUGUAUGUAUUGAAAACUUAACUCUUAUUUUGAAAAGAUGCAUGAAAAUUAAUCUUGUUUUGAAUUAUAAAAAGUGUCAUUUUAUGGUUGAACAAGGGAUAGUCUUAGGGCAUAUAGUUUUUUCUAGAGGUUUGGAAGUUAAUAAAGCUAAGAUAGAUAUUAUCUUUUCUUUGUCUUAUCCCGUAAGUAUACGAGAAGUUUAUUCUUUUCUUUAAAAUGUAGGUUCUUAUCGGAGAUUUAUCAAGGAAUUUCUCAAAAAUAGCAUUUUCCUAUGCAAAUUAUUUAAGAAGGAUAUCAAUUUCAUGUUUGAUGAUGCUUGCAAGUAUAUGCUUGAUGAGCUUAAGAAGAGACUAACUUUGACAUCAAUUGUGUAGCCAUCAAAUUGAAAUCUUCCUUUUAAGAUUAAGUUUGAUUUAAAAAUUAUACAUAUUAAGCUAAUACAUAAUUUUUCAUAAAGCAAUCAAUAAUAUCAUCAUAAAAAUACUCUAAUCUUCUUAAAAACAUUGGAAUAAUUGGGUAAUUGAAAUGCAACUCUUUUUUUCUUAGUUUUUUUUUUACGAAAAACUAAAUAGAAAAAAAAUAAGAUAUUUAGAAAAGGCUAGUCACAUGUAGUCUUGGUCUUCCAAGUAUGCCUGGUCUAAGAAAAAUAAGAUUUAUAUAAGAUGUCAUGUGUUGGGGUUCCAACGUGCCCGUCUCAAUCAAAAGGAAUUUAAAGAAGUUAAAAUUACCACUAAUAUCCUAUAGUUUGAUCCAUUUUACCCUUGCCCGCUGUGUUUUGAAAAACUACAUAUUGCAUCACAGGUCAAAAGAAAAUUUCAAAUAUGAGAGAAUCACUAAAGUACCCUUAUAUAUAUUAUAACCAACAAUAGAUCUAAAUGACAUAUCAUUUCUUUUCUCUCAUCGAUUAACACUAUUCUCUCACUAAAAUAUCAAUCUCGCCAAUCUCGACCCCAAAUAAAAAAAAACAAAAACUAUUGAUUAAAAUUGAUUUUUUGCACUAAUUUGUGUUUUAGCAUGGUUGUCUAGCUAUUGGAACUUCACACAAGUUUCACCUUGAAAUCAGCAAGAAACAUUAAUAUUUUUUUUUAAAUCAAGGCUUUGAAAAUUGUUAAUAGUAUGUUGUGUUAUUGUUAAACACAAUUUAUUCAUUUGUUUAGAGGUUGUUAAGUGUUUGAGUAACUAAAAACCCAAAUUUGUGAAUGUGCACAUCAAUCUUGAAGAUUGUAAAACCCUAAAAGAAUCAAUUAUUCUUCUUUAAUCGACAAAAUAAACAUCACAAACAUGAUUUUGCUAGUGGAAAAACUUGUAUUCUUGUUUAUUUGAAAACCUAAAAAGAACCAAUAAUUUUAAUUUGACAAGGUCAUUGUUCUUUAAACCAUAAUUUUUAAUCUUUUUUAAAACAUGGAUCAUUAUGCACUAAACCCUUACACACACACACACACUAAUUAGCAGCUUUUUACGAAUGCUCUAAAAAACCCAAAUUUUGUUUCAUAUUUACUAUUCAAAGAACCCUAAUUUUAUAAUUUCUUUUUAAAUAUGUGUUUGAUUAACAUAAUUAAUUUUCUAUUAAAUGUGAUUAACCAUUGUUUAAUCGAAUUAGUAAUUUUUUUUAUCCUAAUAAAAAAUCAAAUACUAUAGUUUAUAGGUAUUGUAUAAGCAUCAAUAAUUUGUUUAUAAGCUUAUGUUUAUCAUUAAUGUAAUAUUAUAUCCUUUAUUAUGGAAAUAUAAAUACGAAAUGUUUGAUAUAAUUAAUCAUCAUGGAAGUUCAACAUAUGUCAAAAGAAAUUGUUAUUCUUACUACAUUUCUUAUAUUAACAUCAUGUUCAUAUGCAAGCAAGUAUAUAAUGUAAACUUACAUGGCUUCAAUAUAAGGGAUUAUAAAGAGAAUAUGUUUUUGGAUGAUGCCUCAAUGUUAAAGGUAUUGAGUAUGCAUGAACAAGAAGAAAAAGAAGAAAAAAUUAUAUUUUGAUGAGGAUAUUGAUGUUGCUCUUCUAACAUACACAAUGCUAAGGUGUUAUUAAGGCAAGCCUAAUAAUGGUAAGUCAACUGGUACUAAAUAUUUUUAUGCUUAUAAUGAUGAAGUUAAGAAAAACAAUAAGGUUAUGAUGUUAGUUGGGAUAGAAGAUUUUGAUUUCAAUGAUGAAGAUGUUGAUGUUGAAGUGGAUUAUGAUGUAGGAGGUUUUGGUGUUGGUGUUGGUGUUAGUUAUGGUGAUGGUGUUGGUAUUGAAGUCGUUGCUACUGUGGAGGUUCCAGUGUUAGUGAUGGUAUUUAUGCUAAAGUUGGUGCUGAUGUGGGAGGUUUUGUUAUCGGUGAUGGUAAUGGUGUUGAUGCUGAAUUGGUACUAAUAUGAGAGGUUUUGUUAUAGGUGAUGGUGUUAAUGUUAAAACAUGUAUUGAUUUUGAUGAUGGUGUGGAUGUUAUUGUGGGUGAUGUUGUUGUUAAUAUAUGUAAUGAUAAUAAGGUUGAUGAAGAGAAAAAAGAUAGAGAACUAUAUCUUUUAUGAUGAGAAGGGAUUUGAUUUUAUAAAUGAAGUUGAAGAUGAUUGGAUUGACAACUUGUUUAGUGAUAGUUCCAUUGGAAAGAAUGUAUAUUGUUUUUUAGAUUCAAAAAAAUACAUGGAAUAUUACUACUGAUGAUGAUGAUGAUGAUGAUAGGUUAAUAUAAAUAUAAUAGGUUAAGUGGAGGUAUGCCACUGUUCAAGGAUUACAACUUUACAUUCUUUAAAUGAUUUAACCAAAGUAGCUCAUGUCUCAAACAUUUCUAAUUAUAUAUGUCACGGAAGUAUACAUUUGUAAAGCCUGGCUGAUGACUGAAAGCUUAUUAGAUUCUAGUGCAAUAAUAUCUGUGAUCUUUUAUUGACAGAAAUACAUAAAUACACUACUAGAUACUAAACAAGCAGAACUCCACUAGAAAGAAAAUAAUAAAGAAAGGGUAAAUUCUGGGUUUAAAAGCCAUAGAUAGUUGUUUUUGGAAGCUAUGCAGUGAUAGCUAGAUAGUUUUCAAGAUGAAGAAGCUGGGGGGAUUCCAGGGAUGAGAGGAGGGAGAAGAGGGAGAGGAGGAAUAAGUGAGAAGGGAGGUGGUGGAAUAAGUGGGAAGGGAGGUGGUGGCAACGGAAGGGAUGGUAUUGGUGGCAACGGAAGGGAUGGUAUUGGUGGCAACGGAAGGGAUGGUAUUGGUGGCAACGGAAGGGAUGGUAUUGGUGUCAACGGAAGGGAUUGUAUUGGAGGAGGCUGAAGUGGGUUAGGAGGAAGUAUUGGUGGAAAUAGUGGAGGUGGCUGAAUUAUUGGAGGAAGUAUUGGAGGUGGCUGAAAAGGGUUUGGUGGAAAAAGUGGUGGUGUUGGAAAGCCAAACUGAUUAGGAUGGUGCACCGCUUUUUCAUCUGGUAAUGUUGUGCUCUUAAGAGAUUCUGUAGUUUUGGUAUUUUCUGUAUUUGCUGGAAUUGGUGGAAGAAAAGGUAGCCCUGGAAGAGGUGGGAGAGGAGGGAGUUGCGGUAAUGGUGGCAAUAUUGGAAGCGGAGGAAGAGGAGGGAGAACAGGUGUUUUCGGGUCUUGAAGUGGAGGUGGAAAUGUUGGGUUAUCAAAAGAAGGUGGAGAGGCUUCUUUGGAACUGAAUUCCCUGGGAUUUUCUAUACUUGGUUUUUGAUUACAUAAGAACGGUUCUUUUUCAGGCUUGAAG